AGUGAACGCUGGCGGUAGGCCUAACACAUGCAAGUCGAACGGCAGCACAGUAAGAGCUUGCUCUUACGGGUGGCGAGUGGCGGACGGGUGAGGAAUACAUCGGAGUCUACUUUUUCGUGGGGGAUAACGUAGGGAAACUUACGCUAAUACCGCAUACGACCUACGGGUGGAAGCAGGGGAUCUUCGGACCUUGCGCGAUUGAAUGAGCCGAUGUCGGAUUAGCUAGUUGGCGGGGUAAAGGCCCACCAAGGCGACGAUCCGUAGCUGGUCUGAGAGGAUGAUCAGCCACACUGGAACUGAGACACGGUCCAGACUCCUACGGGAGGCAGCAGUGGGGAAUAUUGGACAAUGGGCGCAAGCCUGAUCCAGCCAUACCGCGUGGGUGAAGAAGGCCUUCGGGUUGUAAAGCCCUUUUGUUGGGAAAGAAAAGCAGCAGGUUAAUACCCCGCUGUUCUGACGGUACCCAAAGAAUAAGCACCGGCUAACUUCGUG
Molecule: ribosomal RNA, 492 nt
Filed under: uncultured bacterium
Lineage: Bacteria
Description: partial 16S ribosomal RNA
Rfam family: Bacterial small subunit ribosomal RNA
Source: RNAcentral